RNA transcript from Oncorhynchus nerka (sockeye salmon), 2188 nucleotides. RefSeq lists it as uncharacterized. The record is from RefSeq and is a predicted model, not a curated record. The transcript has 9 exons. NCBI's taxonomy places the organism in Eukaryota, Metazoa, Chordata, Actinopteri, Salmoniformes, Salmonidae.
CUCACCCUGCAGAUGACAAACUACAUCUCAUCAUUGAAAACUCCAUGCUUGAGAAGUUAAAUCAUUUGUAUCAUAUAUUUGGUUGAAUUCGUUUCAAUAGCCAGAUUUUACCCAUCAAGAUGGUACUACCUUUAACUAGCCUGUUGAGGAUUACACAAUGCAUCUUAAUAUUUGCCAUCUCAGGUUCCAUGUCAGUGCCCUACUCAGUCACUCCAGCAGGUAUGAGCACCACCCCAACAAACAAAAUGGUAUUCCAGAUGGACAUAAAGAUCACCAAUCGGGUCUUCAAUGACUCCCUAUUGAAUCCCAAUUCCGAGGACUACAAGAAAAUGUAUGACGAGGUCAGCCAACUGCUUGCUGAUGUCUACAAGUCUUCUACAUCCGGAACAGCAUCCACUUAUGAGGGCGUUGCAACAAUGACUUUCAGAAAUGGAUCAGUGAUCGCAAACGCUGACAUAGUUUUCAACACAAUGUCUAUCAAUGGAUUUGUGGUCAAGUUUGAAUUCCUGAAUUAUAUCGAUGCCAAUCCUUCUGCCCUUCUCCAGAUAAAUGCAAAUUCUAUUGAAUGUUCCAUGUCAGUGCCCUACUCAGUCACUCCAGCAGGUAUGAGCACCACCCCAACAAACAAAAUGGUAUUCCAGAUGGACAUAAAGAUCACCAAUCGGGUCUUCAAUGACUCCCUAUUGAAUCCCAAUUCCGAGGACUACAAGAAAAUGUAUGACGAGGUCAGCCAACUGCUUGCUGAUGUCUACAAGUCUUCUACAUCCGGAACAGCAUCCACUUAUGAGGGCGUUGCAACAAUGACUUUCAGAAAUGGAUCAGUGAUCGCAAACGCUGACAUAGUUUUCAACACAAUGUCUAUCAAUGGAUUUGUGGUCAAGUUUGAAUUCCUGAAUUAUAUCGAUGCCAAUCCUUCUGCCCUUCUCCAGAUAGAUACAAAUUAUAUUGAGUGUAUGUACAUAGUGAACCUCUGAGCAGGAAGAUGUGGAGGUUACAAACCAACAGGUACCUAAACACAGCUCCUGAUUGGUGGUUUUAACAGACCCUCAAUGCAAACUCUUGUCUGCAGAACAAGAUCUGACAAAGAUGAGCUACAAGCAAAACCAAGUCACAGCCUCUGUAGAUUCUGUAUAGUUUGUCAGGAAUUUAGCAUGUUAUAUUGGAUGAAAAUGAUUGGAAUGAGUGAUUUCAUACGUUUGUAUUUAUUCCACAAAUUUUGCGCAUAAAUAUUGGGCAACCUUGCUAGUACUUUUGUAUUGUAUCUGAUGUCAUCAUAUUUGACCGUGUUAUGAACACAACCAGCGUCAAGCUGAUAUCAUUUUUCAGUCUGUUAUAUUCUGAUUUUUCAUUGGCACAAAUAUCUCAGAUGUUUUGCGUUGCAUCAUGUUCAACUGCUCAAUUGUAUAAUGCUAAAGAUGAAUGUUAAAUCAAAUAUGAAAAUCAAAGAGUUCCUUAAUUGGGCAGAUAUUUCAAUUUGGAGUUUACAGUAAUGAUGUAUACAAGCUCUGGAUUGCUAAUGGUAUGUAUUGGCCAUUGACAGGCUUUGAAGACACCAGUCGGCCAUUUUGGCACUCCCCAGUAGGAGCAGUCCUUCACAAGAGUACAUUGAAUUCUACAGUAUUUCAAUGAAAUAUUUCAAGGACAAAAUGACAUGUAUUUAAAUAUUUGUUUAUUGUUGGGACAGUAAAAUUCAUCUAAAAAAAACUAUACUGUAAGGAAACGUUUUAAUAUGAUUUUUAUUUGUAUGUUUAGCUCACAUAAUACAAUGUAAAAGUGUGCAAUAUAAUACAUGUGGCUAAAACAAAUGUAGAAAUAAAAAUGAUAAUUUCUAUAGCUUCCAAAAUAAUGGUGAGGGAGUGCCAAGAUGGAGGCAUGGUGGCUUCAAUAGAGCCCCCCAAAUAGUAAUCUAGUUUAUAUAUAAAUCAUUGGCUAACAACAUGUGCAAUAAUAAUGUGACAUCUUGUGAAAUGGAAAUAGAUGGAUGUCUGAAUCCUAACUUGACUUGAGUGCCCAUUGAUGUCAAUGGACGAUUUUUAAAAAAUAACUCCAGUUACACGCACAGAUCUCAAGUUAGGAUUUGGGACUUGAGCAUUACACACGUAAAUAGGAGUAUAUUUCUGAGUUUUGAGUUUGUAUCACAUCAUACAAUUUAAUGGAAGACUUGUAAAUAAAUGUUGAGAAUCAAGAA